RNAcentral lists this ribosomal RNA (312 nucleotides) under Triticum aestivum (bread wheat). Its description in RNAcentral is "partial small subunit ribosomal RNA". The record is from RNAcentral. Lineage: Eukaryota; Viridiplantae; Streptophyta; Magnoliopsida; Poales; Poaceae.
AUGGAGGCAAAUGAGGGAGCAGCACAAGAGGUAAACAUGAUAUUGAGUACAUAUGAAAAGUGCUCAGGGCAAAUGAUAAACAAGGACAAAUCAUCAAUUUUCUUUAGCAAAAAUAAGGAUGAGGGACGAAAAAACAUUAUGAAGAGGAUCAUGGGCAUCAAUGUGGAGGGCUUAACUAGAAAAUACUUAGGCCUUCCUACAUAUAUUGGCAAAGGAAAAGCAAAGAAUUUCGCUAUAUUCGAGAGAAGGUCUGGAAAAAAAAACAGGAAUGGAAGGAGAAACUGUUGUCAAAAGCAGGGAAAGAAAUAUUGA